This 443-nucleotide ribosomal RNA is filed under the name uncultured bacterium. RNAcentral's name for it is "partial 16S ribosomal RNA". It matches the Rfam family "Bacterial small subunit ribosomal RNA", at positions 338 to 795 of the family's 1533-position model. The record is from RNAcentral.
CCUACGGGUGGCAGCAGUGGGGAAUAUUGGGCAAUGGGCGCAACCCUGACCCAGCAACGCCGCGUGAGGGAAGAAGGCUUUCGGGUUGUAAACUUCUUUUAGCAGGGACGAAACAAGUGACGGUACCUGAUGAAUAAGCCACGGCUAACCACGUGCCAGCAGCCGCGGUAAUACGUAGGUGGCAAGCGUUAUCCGGAUUUACUGGGUGUAAAGGGAGUGUAGGCGGGAGUGCAAGUCAGAUGUGAAAACUAUGGGCUCAACCCAUAGCCUGCAUUUGAAACUGUACUUCUUGAGUGCAGGAGAGGCAAGUGGAAUUCCGUGUGUAGCGGUGAAAUGCGUAGAUAUAAGGAGGAACACCAGUGGCGAAGGCGGAUUGCUGGACAGUAACUGACGCUGAGGCGCGAAAGCGUGGGGAGCAAACAGGAUUAGAUACCCUUGUAGUC